CUACGGGCUGCUCCAGUGAGGAAUAUUGCACAAUGGGGGGAACCCUGAUGCAGCAACGCCGCGUGGAGGAUGACGCAUUUCGGUGUGUAAACUCCUUUUAUAUGUCAAGAAAAUGACGGUAGCAUAUGAAUAAGCACCGGCUAACUCCGUGCCAGCAGCCGCGGUAAUACGGAGGGUGCAAGCGUUACUCGGAAUCACUGGGCGUAAAGGACGCGUAGGCGGGUUGGAAAGUCAGGUGUGAAAUCCUACAGCUUAACUGUAGAACUGCACUUGAAACUUCUAAUCUAGAGUAUGGGAGGGGGAGAUGGAAUUAGUGGUGUAGGGGUAAAAUCCGUAGAUAUCACUAGGAAUACCUAAAGCGAAGGCGAUCUCCUGGAGCAUUACUGACGCUAAGGCGUGAAAGCGUGGGGAGCAAACAGGGUUAGAUACCCCCGUAGUC
Molecule: ribosomal RNA, 439 nt
Filed under: uncultured bacterium
Lineage: Bacteria
Description: partial 16S ribosomal RNA
Rfam family: Bacterial small subunit ribosomal RNA
Source: RNAcentral